GCUAAUCUCUUAAAGUACGUCUCAGUUCGGAUUGUAGGCUGCAACUCGCCUACAUGAAGUCGGAAUCGCUAGUAAUCGCGGAUCAGCACGCCGCGGUGAAUACGUUCCCGGGUCUUGUACACACCGCCCGUCACACCAUGAGAGUUUGUAACACCCAAAGCCGGUGGGGUAACCUUCGGGAGCCAGCCGUCUAAGGUGGGACAGAUGAUUAGGGUGAAGUCGUAACAAGGUAGCCGUAGGAGAACCUGCGGCUGGAUCACCUCCUUUCUAAGGAA
RNAcentral lists this ribosomal RNA (275 nucleotides) under Weissella confusa. RNAcentral's name for it is "partial 16S ribosomal RNA". It matches the Rfam family "Bacterial small subunit ribosomal RNA", at positions 1267 to 1533 of the family's 1533-position model. Lineage: Bacteria; Bacillati; Bacillota; Bacilli; Lactobacillales; Lactobacillaceae. The record is from RNAcentral.